UCGGGAAUUUUGGGCAAUGGGCGAAAGCCUGACCCAGCAACGCCGCGUGGAGGAUGAAGGUCUUCGGAUCGUAAACUCCUGUCAGAUGGGGCGAAGGUCCACUGCCUAAUACGCAGUGGUCUUGACGGUACCAUCAGAGGAAGCCACGGCUAACUCUGUGCCAGCAGCCGCGGUAAUACAGAGGUGGUGAGCGUUAUUCGGAAUUAUUGGGCGUAAAGGGUGCGUAGGUGGCCCUGUAAGUCAGUGGUGAAAUAUCUCAGCUUAACUGAGAGGGUGCCAUUGAUACUGCAGGGCUUGAGUACAGAUGAGGUAGGCGGAAUUGACGGUGUAGCGGUGAAAUGCAUAGAUAUCGUCAAGAACACCGAUAGCGAAGGCAGCUUACCAAGCUGUAACUGACACUGAGGCACGAAAGUGUGGGGAUCAAACAGGAUUAGAUACCCCCGAGUCCCUGAGCGGGCUGGCAAGGCG
RNAcentral lists this ribosomal RNA (468 nucleotides) under uncultured bacterium. Its description in RNAcentral is "bacterial SSU rRNA". It matches the Rfam family "Bacterial small subunit ribosomal RNA", at positions 355 to 822 of the family's 1533-position model. The record is from RNAcentral.